RNAcentral lists this ribosomal RNA (482 nucleotides) under uncultured bacterium. Its description in RNAcentral is "partial 16S ribosomal RNA". It matches the Rfam family "Bacterial small subunit ribosomal RNA", at positions 30 to 507 of the family's 1533-position model. The record is from RNAcentral.
AUUGAACGCUGGCGGCAUGCCUUACACAUGCAAGUCGAACGGUAACGGGCCUUCGGGUGCCGACGAGUGGCGAACGGGUGAGUAAUACAUCGGAACGUGCCCGAUCGUGGGGGAUAACGGGGCGAAAGCUUUGCUAAUACCGCAUACGAUCUACGGAUGAAAGCAGGGGACCGCAAGGCCUUGCGCGGACGGAGCGGGCGAUGGCAGAUUAGGUAGUUGGUGGGAUAAAAGCUUACCAAGCCGACGAUCUGUAGCUGGUCUGAGAGGAUGAUCAGCCACACUGGGACUGAGACACGGCCCAGACUCCUACGGGAGGCAGCAGUGGGGAAUUUUGGACAAUGGGCGCAAGCCUGAUCCAGCCAUGCCGCGUGCAGGAUGAAGGCCUUCGGGUUGUAAACUGCUUUUGUACGGAACGAAAAGCCUUCUUUUAAUACAGGAGGGUCAUGACGGUACCGUAAGAAUAAGCACCGGCUAACUACGUG